UUUUGACAUUGAAGAACUUUGAAGGAUUGGACCUUGGCAAGAUGGACCAAGCUAAUGACUCUGGCUUAGCUUCGUAUGUUGCUGGUCAAAUUGAUCGCACUUUGAGCUGGAAGGAUGUUCAGUGGCUCCAGACUAUCACUUCAAUGCCAAUCCUGGUGAAGGGUGUAAUUACGGCUGAGGAUGCUAGGCUUGCAGUUCAGGCUGGAGCAGCUGGUAUCAUUGUGU
This 225-nucleotide unclassified non-coding RNA is filed under the name Hevea brasiliensis (rubber tree). The record is from RNAcentral. Lineage: Eukaryota; Viridiplantae; Streptophyta; Magnoliopsida; Malpighiales; Euphorbiaceae.